Non-coding RNA from Ornithorhynchus anatinus (platypus), 72 nucleotides. Lineage: Eukaryota; Metazoa; Chordata; Mammalia; Monotremata; Ornithorhynchidae. The record is from Rfam.
AGCAGCGUGGCUCAGUGGAAAGAGCCUGGGCUUUGGAGUCAGAGGGCAUGAGUUCAAAUCCCAGCUCUGCCA